CGUCCAGUUGCCCCUUGAAAAAGCACAUUUGGGACAGUAGCUUUGAGUGUCUCAUGUUUUUCUGCCUUUUCUCUUGAGCAACUCGACUUCUUUCCUAAAAAAGCAUGGCUUCCCUUAGUGACAAGACGAUGAGUGUCUUGUCACAAUCUUAGAGCCAGACAAGUCACGAACGAUGGGUUGCUUAGUCAAGAUUGCCCAUCCAACAUGUUGCACAGCUGUUGAGUUCUGUCUUAAAGUAGCUUGGACAAAACCAUCACGGGAGAGGGGGAGAGGUGUUGACAGUGGUAAUGCCCUAACUCUGCAUGUCAUUGAUCAGGAAAGCUGGUUGGAACUGCUAUAAAACAUGGUCACAUAGUUUUGGCCACACUGCUGAAGUUUGGCAGCGCACUUAUAUGAAAAAUCUACUUUUGUCGCUCAGAACAGGCAAAACUUUCAAAGGGAACUCCCUUCCCCCUGCUCCACCUCCUCAAAUGGGGAAGUUCUCACCUACUUUGCAAAUUCACACACUGAAAUUGCCCCACCCCAUUGAACUGGCACAGAUUUCUCAUUUUUACUGGCAACUUUAAGACUUGUGGAAAGCUGGCUGAGGAAUUCUGGGAGUUGAAGUCCACAAGUCUUAAUGUUGCCAAGGUUGAGAACCCCUGCUUAAGGGAUCUUGACUUUCUCUGACCCCAACCCACCUCCCAGUAGUGAAGCUUGAAACAGAGGGAGGGGUGCUGAUGAUUGCCAAUUUCUCAUCCUUACUCUCAGUAUUCAAGACCACGCGUGCACGCAGCGUCCGCCUGGAGAUUCCCCCACCCCGCUCACCUGUUUUACUCAAAAGAGGAAGCUGCAAACAACUUCUGAAUCAAAGAUGCAACAAAAUUCUUAAACUAGCUCCCUUUUCUGCUCUUCAGUUCUACCCUUCGGAUGAACGCUAGUUCCUACCGCAGCAGUAGAGGCCAACGAACAAACCAGAUACUGCCAGUUGUACGAGAAGGAGACAACUGACACCGGUCCACAUUUGCCAAAAGAAAAUGCCAACAAGAAGGAGAGAAAGGUAAAAUCUAGGCCGCUUCUUUAAAAAGUAGAAGUGGCUAAGUUCCUCCUAGCAUUCUCCUAACAGGAAACCUUUUUUUUCCUCUUCUCUAAUUAGAUGUUUCGUUUUGACUACCAAGAACACGCGUUGCAUAUGAAUUUGGGGCACAAUAUGUGGUCUCUACAUAUAUAUAUAUACAUCUUUGGCCUGAUGGAAGACUUUUAUAAACGCCUGUUAUCUGUCUGCUCUGAACAUCUGGCUACGCUUACAUGAUGUGGCCUUUCAGCUCACAGAUCUGUUUUAAUUACCAAUAUAAAAAAGCAGAGUAGAAAAAAUGGAAACGGACCCACUCCCCCUUCCCAGAGGUGUGGUACAACACAGCUGGCACUGCUACAGAGAAGUUUAGCCAGGAAAAAGCCAAACAUACUGUUGGUUGAAUAUACAGACAAUGGGCAGAAUUCCUCAGCGGGGAAGAGGUCAUAGUUGGGUAAAGGAACACAUGCUUUGCAUGCAAAAGACCCCUGAUGUGGAUCCCUGGCAUCUCUCGACUUCCCGAGAAUGGCCCUAGCAAGUCAACACAACCGCCUCGAUGCACAGAAUCUUAGGCUUAACUGUACGAUCUACACAUGGGGUUUUUCUCUCUUCUAACCUUUGGGUAUUUCAAGCGCAAUAGAGUUGGUACAGAACGGGACAACUCGCCACAGCCAACUCAUCGUGGCCAACAACGCGAGACAACACAACCAAUAAAAAUAAAAUAAAAUGAAUUUCGACGGAACCGUGACCCAUCAUCAAAAAAGAAAAGUCAAUCCAGAAAUACAAGAGUGAACAAUAUUUACGGAGGUUCUCGGUCCUCCAGAUCAUGGUAAUCCCAGAGAUGUUUUUGUUUUUUCAAAAAGCAACUGAAGAAGCUUCUUGGAUGAGAAGUGAAACGUCUUCAAAGAAAAACAACAAAGACCAGUUGCCUCUUGACCUGGAUGAUUGAGAAUCUCCGUAGACGUCUUCAAGGGAAAACAAAAAGUCCAGUUGCCUUUUGAAAAAGCACCUUUGGGAGAAGAGUUACAAUAAUUUCAAGGAAAACAGGGUCACCAAUCAUCCAAGUAACUGAACGGAAGGAUUAAUACAGCAUUGAAUUGACCCAUGGUGAUUUGGCUGCAGCAAGUUGUCCUAGACCCAAGUUGGUAGACAUCCUGCUCCGCAGUAGGAUUUUUGAAGGUCUGAAGGGCAACAGGGCUGGGUCUUCCUCAGACAGCCCUUGCUACUCCUUCAUCCUCAGCCUUGGUGGCCUGGAGACAGGAACCCCGUGGAGACUUUGUCUGGGCCAUUGUUGCUCAGGGAAAGAACUAAACCAGGGCACAAGAACUUAAGUCUUGACUUUUGGGGAAGACUGCGCUGUUGAUCAUGGUCUGGGGAGGCAGUAACAGUCACUGUUGCUCUUUGCACCUGAUGUUAGGUAGUCCUUCCAUUGGACUAUCUAAAAUUUACAUUAAGGCAUAACCAUUUACCAAAUUCAUACAAAAAGACUUUGGGGAAGGGAAGUACUUCACAGGUUUAUCAACUGCCACAUCUUGAAAACCUGGUAGCUUUUGUUCCUUAACGUAACACUCGGGACAAUUAUUUUUUGUUUUGGUUUUUUUGUUCAUAGAAUCUGCAAUACAUAACAUUUUUCAAACAUCUAUGUGGGGUAGCGGAAUUCCUCCGAGACACAGUAUUUCAAGAUGGAGAUCAGUGGCAGGACAGCAAUAGAAAGACAACGAAACAGACAAUUUUUACACCUACAGUAACGUUUCCCCAUAAUUGGCUGAAA
Molecule: long non-coding RNA, 2822 nt
Organism: Crotalus tigris (Tiger rattlesnake)
Lineage: Eukaryota; Metazoa; Chordata; Lepidosauria; Squamata; Viperidae
Exons: 2
Source: RefSeq, a predicted model, not a curated record